Long non-coding RNA from Psammomys obesus (fat sand rat), 1368 nucleotides. RefSeq lists it as uncharacterized. The record is from RefSeq and is a predicted model, not a curated record. The transcript is spliced from 4 exons. Lineage: Eukaryota; Metazoa; Chordata; Mammalia; Rodentia; Muridae.
CUGGCGACUCUGGUUCUAGGGACAGAAGCGCCCAGCCAGCUGCAUGCUCCUGCCCCUCAGCUUCAGGAGAGCUUUACUGGGUGCAGGGUCGGAGAGGGGCCCCGGCCAGUGUCAGAGAUCCACUGUUUUGAUUUUGAAGGUCAUCCACGCCCACACUGCACUCUGCUCAAGUUCAUUUUCCGUACCAAACACACUGCACUCAGGAGCAUGCCUUGGGAUAUUUGCAGAUAUUCAUCUGUUCUGUAGGCUCACUGGACGCGGCGUUCCUGCACAACCCUGCACACGUACACAGGAGAGGCAUUCCCGCCCGCCGAGGAGUGGCAGUUUGUGGCUGGGCUCAUCAGCACUCCUAACGGCAGUGAGGGCCGCUCACUCACUCGCCCGCCACCAUUGGUGUCUUCCCCAGCCGGGGAGAUGGACACAGACAGCUCCUGCCUCCAGGUUCCUGCCCUGCGUGAGUUCCUGUCCUGACGUCCUUCAGUGAUGAACAGCGAUGUGAUGCGGACCUGUGAGCCAAUUUCACUGUCUAGAGCCUGACGAAUCACCCUGUACACUUGCUGACCACAGAAACAUGACCUGAGGCUGCGUGUUCAAAUAUGAGACCUUGCCUCGAUGAAUGCAGAGGAGAACAAUAGAGGACUCCUGACAUCAGUGUUGGCUGCCACAGGCACACACCUGUCCAUACCCACAUGCAUGUGAACACCUGUACCUAGGCUGCCUGUGCCUCUCUGUGUGCUUUCCUGAGCCAAGAGAGUUCUUGUCUUGAAUGUGUGACGCCUCAGCAUCUAACCCUGAGUGCACAGGCCUCAGGUUAGACCCGAGAUCAUCUUCCUCUUCUGUGAGAUUAAAAGCUAGCUGAGAUGCCCCAAGCAUCCUCCUCGUGAGGGUACAGCUCCUGAGUGUCUGUUUCUCAUCCAUUUUCCUCAUAGAUUUCUGUUAGAAUCCAGACCAAACUGCCUCUCAGCCCACAUCCAGCUGUAGGAGCGGAGGAAACUGGCAAACCCCUACCCACAGCUUGUCUGGGACUCUUCAAGCUCCUAGCGGAAUCCCCAGGUACCUGGGGCAGUGAGAAUGGCAGACGCCAGACUCCAGAGAGCUAUUGGUGGCCACAGUGUAACAGGUUCAUCUCAAUUAGAUGCAUCCCUCCUCACUUCUCCCACAACCACGCAGUUCUCACCCCAAGUCCUCUUCCCUUUCCCUGCUGCCCAGGACUCAGAGACAGCUUUGAGUACAUGAUCCCCCUUCCUCUGGGACCUGUAAGAACGGACCCCUACCUGCCUCAUAGGGAGGACUCUCCUUGGAGGCCCUGCCAUGCUGCUGUCUGUCUGCAGCAUUAAUAACUCUUCUACUAAAUCUUGUGACCCCAAA